Molecule: ribosomal RNA, 2339 nt
Filed under: Meloidogyne incognita (southern root-knot nematode)
Lineage: Eukaryota; Metazoa; Nematoda; Chromadorea; Rhabditida; Meloidogynidae
Description: eukaryotic LSU rRNA
Rfam family: Eukaryotic large subunit ribosomal RNA
Source: RNAcentral
UAUUUUAUGUUGUGAUCUCUGAGCUCCAGAUUGGGACAGAGGGAAGCAGCAUAAUUUUCUGUGAUGCAUUUACUUGUUUGGUGCUUGGGGAUGUUUGAGGCGGAUUUGUAACCGCCGUUUUGAGGCCAGCUUGCUGGUACCCAAACGGUGUUAGCAUUUUUUGUCUUGGACGUUUGAGUAUGGCUUCGGGCAUUUAUUGGUUCGAUCUGAGUGUAAGUUACGGUCGCAUGCGACACGUGCUUUUCAAUUAGUUCGGCCCAGUUAAUGCUCUCGUACUCGCUCCCCAUGUAAAAGCCGGUCAUCUAUCCGACCCGUCUUGAAACACGGACCAAGGAGUUUAUCGUGUGCGCAAGUUUUUGGGUGUUAAAAACCUAAAGGCGAAAUGAAAGUAAAUGGCACUUUAGAGUCUGAUGUGCGAUCUUGUAAAAAAGUGCAGCAUGGCCCCAUUCUAACUGUUUACAGCAGGGUGGCGGAAGAGCGUACGCGGUGAGACCCGAAAGAUGGUGAACUAUUCCUGAGCAGGACGAAGCCAGAGGAAACUCUGGUGGAAGUCCGAAGCGGUUCUGACGUGCAAAUCGAUCGUCUGACUUGGGUAUAGGGGCGAAAGACUAAUCGAACCAUCUAGUAGCUGGUUCCCUCUGAAGUUUCCCCCAGGAUAGCUGGAGCUCACGAGUAGUUAUACUCGGUAAAGCGAAUGAUUAGAGGACUUGGGAACGAAAUGUUCUUAACCUAUUCUCAAACUCUAAAUGGGUAUGAUGUCAAAGUUGCUUGAUUUUGAACUUUGGCGUUGAAUACGAGCUCCAAGUGGGCCAUUUUUGGUAAGCAGAACUGGCGAUGUGGGAUGAACCAAACGCGGAGUUGCGGUGCCAAAGUGCCCGCUCAUUAGACCCCAUAAAAGGUGUUGGUUGAUACAGACAGCAGGACGGUGGCCAUGGAAGUCGGAAUCCGCUAAGGAGUGUGUAACAACUCACCUGCCGAAUCAACUAGCCCUGAAAAUGGAUGGCGCUGGAGCGGGCCACCUAUACUCUGCCGUCAUAUGCUUGUAUUUUUGAGUCUUGCAAUGACGUGUAAGAGGGUCGUAGUGGUUGCGUUGAAGGCUUUGGGUGUGCACCCAGCUGGAGCUUCCACUAGUGCAGAUCUUGGUGGUAGUAGCAAAUAUUCAAGUGAGAUCCUUGAAGACUGAAGUGGAGAAGGGUUCCACGUGAACAGCAGUUGAAUGUGGGUCAGUCGAUCCUAAGGCACCGGCUAAAGCCGUCUAGACACUGCGGGGAGAUGAGAUACUUAACGGUAUUUUGUCCACCCGGUUGCCGAAAGGGAAGUGGGUUAAUAUUCCCACACCAGGCAUGGGAGAUGGUAAUCCGCAAGGAUUACUUUGCGCGGUGACGCAAACGAACUCGUAGACCUCGUGUGGAGUCCGGGCCAGAGUUCUCUUUUCUGGUUUAGAGAUCAUGUCCCUGGAAGUGGCUCAGCCUGAGAUAGGGAUGCUGGUCUCGUAAAGCGCAGCGGUUCCUGUUGUGUCUCGUGUGCUCCACAUGAGCCGUGAAAAUGCGAGGGAGGCAAUUUAAAAUCUCCUGCCUGAUCGUACCCAUAUCCGCAGCAGGUCUCCAAGGUGAACAGCCUCUAGUCGAUAGAAUAAUGUAGGUAAGGGAAGUCGGCAAAUUAGAUUCGUAACUUCGGGAAAAGAAUUGGCUCUAAAGGUUGGGUCAGUCGGGCUGUUGUGUGAAACAGGUGGACUUUGCUCGUGGCUGCUUGCGCUUCCUUUCGGGGCGGCGCUUGUGGACUAGUAGUGAGGACUGCUUGUGGAGCGCUUCAGCUGCGUGCUAUUUCGCAAGAUAUAGUACUUCGAUUGGCGCUGAACAACCAGUUUAGAACUGGCACGAACUCCGGGAAUCCGACUGUCUAAUUAAAACAGAGGAGACGGAUGGUCCUUGCAGGACGUUGACCGUGUCUGAUUUCUGCCCAGUGCUCUGAAUGUUAAGCCAAGGAAACUUGAUUAAGCGCGGGUAAACGGCGGGAGUAACUAUGACUCUCUUAAGGUAGCCAAAUGCCUCGUCGGCUAACUACCGACGCGCACGAAUGGAUCAACGAGAUUCCCACUGUCCCUAUCUACUAUCUAGCGAAACCACAGCCAAGGGAACGGGCUUGGCAAAUUUAGCGGGGAAAGAAGACCCUGUUGAGCUUGACUCUAGUCUGACUUUGUGAAGAAUCAUGAGAGGUGUAGCAUAAGUGGGAGUCGCAAGACAAAAGUGAAAUACCACUACUUUCAUCGAUUCCUUACUUAAUCGGUAAAACGGGAGUUGUGUCUACGGACCUUCAUUUUUGUUUUAAGACUAGCCACU